CUUGGCUCGGGGUCUCCCUAAUCGGAAGCUGAUCAUCUGUCUCUCAAGAUGCAUUAAAGCUUUACUGCAGAAGGAUCCGAGUGUCCUGUGUGGUUCUUGCUGGCGAGACGAUCGUGCAGGACAUCUAGUGCUGAAACCCGGGAACGUGUUGACAUCGCCGGCGCCACGGGAGACCCCUCGGAGGACGGGGCGGAUUCAGAACUGCAGGGUGGAUGCAGCCUCUGGUGGUUAACCAUGCUCCAGUGAAAGGCAACACAUCCGGAAAUACAUAGGCAACACCAACAAUGGGUUCUCUGCCUAAAGCUGGAUGUCCUGGAACUUGCUUUGUAGACUAGGCAG
Molecule: long non-coding RNA, 339 nt
Filed under: Cricetulus griseus (Chinese hamster)
Lineage: Eukaryota; Metazoa; Chordata; Mammalia; Rodentia; Cricetidae
Description: lncRNA (ENSCGRG00015037849.1)
Source: RNAcentral